Long non-coding RNA from Corapipo altera (White-ruffed manakin), 163 nucleotides. RefSeq lists it as uncharacterized. The transcript has 3 exons. NCBI's taxonomy places the organism in Eukaryota, Metazoa, Chordata, Aves, Passeriformes, Pipridae. The record is from RefSeq and is a predicted model, not a curated record.
AAAGGUGGCUCUUUCCUAAACGAUUCUAGGUUCGAUUCUAUGACCUUCGGCUCUACGAUGGACAACGCACACACAGAAAUAGAAGUCUUAGGCCAGCGUAAGCAGAGUAUUUAAUUUCCCACGAAAACUAGACCUCUCUUGGUUAAAACAGAAAAAGUCUUUC